Molecule: ribosomal RNA, 325 nt
Filed under: Staphylococcus haemolyticus
Lineage: Bacteria; Bacillati; Bacillota; Bacilli; Caryophanales; Staphylococcaceae
Description: partial 23S ribosomal RNA
Rfam family: Bacterial large subunit ribosomal RNA
Source: RNAcentral
UGUCAGAAGGCAGACCCGGAGAACUGAAACAUCUUAGUACCCGGAGGAAGAGAAAGAAAAAUCGAUUCCCUGAGUAGCGGCGAGCGAAACGGGAAGAGCCCAAACCAAUAAGCUUGCUUAUUGGGGUUGUAGGACACUCUAUACGGAGUUACAAAGGAAUAUAUUAGACGAAUCAUCUGGAAAGUUGAAUCAAAGAAGGUAAUAAUCCUGUAGUUGAAAAUAUAUUCUCUCUUGAGUGGAUCCUGAGUACGACGGAGCACGUGAAAUUCCGUCGGAAUCUGGGAGGACCAUCUCCUAAGGCUAAAUACUCUCUAGUGACCGAUAG